AAAGCUUUAUGUUAAAGAAACAAUUAACCUUCAAAGUUAAAAAUAAAAUAUUUUUUUAAGCUUUA
RNAcentral lists this transfer RNA (65 nucleotides) under Habrophlebiodes zijinensis. RNAcentral describes it as "tRNA-Trp". Lineage: Eukaryota; Metazoa; Arthropoda; Insecta; Ephemeroptera; Leptophlebiidae. The record is from RNAcentral.